GUAGGGAAUCUUCCACAAUGGACGAAAGUCUGAUGGAGCAACGCCGCGUGAGUGAAGAAGGUCUUCGGAUCGUAAAACUCUGUUGUUAGAGAAGAACGUGCAUGAUAGUAACUGAUCAUGUAAUGACGGUAUCUAACCAGAAAGCCACGGCUAACUACGUGCCAGCAGCCGCGGUAAUACGUAGGUGGCAAGCGUUGUUCGGAUGUAUUUGGCGUAAAGGGAACGAAGGCGGUUUUUUAAGGCUGAUGUGAAAGGCUUCGGCUUAACCGAAGGAUAGCAUUAGAAACUGGAAGACUUGAGUGCAGAAGAGGAGAGUGGAAUUCCAUGUGUAACGGUGAAAUGCGUAGAUAUAUGGAGGAACACCAGUGGCGAAAGCGGCUCUCUGGUCUGUAACUUACGCUGAGGUUCGAAAGCGUGGGUAGCAAACAGGAUUAGAUACCCGGGUAGUCC
This 450-nucleotide ribosomal RNA is filed under the name uncultured bacterium. Its description in RNAcentral is "partial 16S ribosomal RNA". It matches the Rfam family "Bacterial small subunit ribosomal RNA", at positions 354 to 796 of the family's 1533-position model. The record is from RNAcentral.